UACGUAGGGGGCAAGCGUUGUCCGGAUUUACUGGGUGUAAAGGGAGCGUAGACGGCAUGGCAAGCCAGAUGUGAAAGCCCGGGGCUCAACCCCGGGACUGCAUUUGGAACUGUCAGGCUAGAGUGUCGGAGAGGAAAGCGGAAUUCCUAGUGUAGCGGUGAAAUGCGUAGAUAUUAGGAGGAACACCAGUGGCGAAGGCGGCUUUCUGGACGAUGACUGACGUUGAGGCUCGAAAGCGUGGGGAGCAAACAGG
This 253-nucleotide ribosomal RNA is filed under the name Mediterraneibacter gnavus ATCC 29149. RNAcentral describes it as "[Ruminococcus] gnavus ATCC 29149 partial 16S ribosomal RNA". It matches the Rfam family "Bacterial small subunit ribosomal RNA", at positions 524 to 776 of the family's 1533-position model. The record is from RNAcentral. Lineage: Bacteria; Bacillati; Bacillota; Clostridia; Lachnospirales; Lachnospiraceae.